RNAcentral lists this ribosomal RNA (465 nucleotides) under uncultured bacterium. Its description in RNAcentral is "partial 16S ribosomal RNA". It matches the Rfam family "Bacterial small subunit ribosomal RNA", at positions 28 to 507 of the family's 1533-position model. The record is from RNAcentral.
GACGAACGCUGGCGGCGUGCUUAACACAUGCAAGUCGAACGGAAAGGCCCUGCUUGCAGGGUACUCGAGUGGCGAACGGGUGAGUAACACGUGGGUGAUCUGCCCUGCACUUCGGGAUAAGCUUGGGAAACUGGGUCUAAUACCGGAUAGGACCGCACUUUAGUGUGUGUGGUGGAAAGUUUUUUCGGUGUAGGAUGAGCUCGCGGCCUACCAGCUUGUUGGUGGGGUAAUGGCCUACCAAGGCGGCGACGGGUAGCCGGCCUGAGAGGGUGUACGGCCACAUUGGGACUGAGGUACGGCCCAGACUCCUACGGGGGGCAGCAGUGGGGAAUAUUGCACAAUGGGCGCAAGCCUGAUGCAGCGACGCCGCGUGGGGGAUGAAGGCCUUCGGGUUGUAAACUCCUUUCGCUAGGGACGAAGCUUUUUGUGACGGUACCUAGAUAAGAAGCACCGGCUAACUACGUG